UACGAAGGGUGCAAACGUUGCUCGGAAUUAUUGGGCGUAAAGCGCACGUAGGCGGCUUGGCAAGUCGGAUGUGAAAUCCCUCGGCUCAACCAAGGAAGUGCAUCCGAAACUGCUGAGCUUGAGUACGAAAGAGGAUCGCGGAAUUCCCGGUGUAGAGGUGAAAUUCGUAGAUAUCGGGAGGAACACCAGUGGCGAAGGCGGCGACCUGGGCCAAUAUUGACGCUGAGGUGCGAAAGCGUGGGGAGCAAACAGG
This 253-nucleotide ribosomal RNA is filed under the name uncultured bacterium. Its description in RNAcentral is "partial 16S ribosomal RNA". It matches the Rfam family "Bacterial small subunit ribosomal RNA", at positions 524 to 776 of the family's 1533-position model. The record is from RNAcentral.